ACUUGGAUAGUUUAAAUAAAACGUUGAUUUGUGACAUCAAAGAUGCAAAAUCUUGCUUUAGGUC
Molecule: transfer RNA, 64 nt
Filed under: Tramea virginia
Lineage: Eukaryota; Metazoa; Arthropoda; Insecta; Odonata; Libellulidae
Also listed under: 1 other name
Description: tRNA-His
Rfam family: tRNA
About the family: Transfer RNA (tRNA) molecules are approximately 80 nucleotides in length.
Source: RNAcentral